Molecule: ribosomal RNA, 397 nt
Filed under: uncultured bacterium
Lineage: Bacteria
Description: partial 16S ribosomal RNA
Rfam family: Bacterial small subunit ribosomal RNA
Source: RNAcentral
AUACGUAGGUGGCGAGCGUUAUCCGGAUUUACUGGGUGUAAAGGGCGCGUAGGCGGGUUGGCAAGUCAGAUGUGAAAUACCGGGGCUCAACCCCGGGGCUGCAUUUGAAACUGUCAGUCUUGAGUGAUGGAGAGGCAAGCGGAAUUCCUAGUGUAGCGGUGAAAUGCGUAGAUAUUAGGAGGAACACCAGUGGCGAAGGCGGGUAACUGGACUGCAACUGACGCUGAGGCGCGAAAGUGUGGGGAGCAAACAGGAUUAGAUACCCUGGUAGUCCACACUGUAAACGAUGAAUGCUAGGUGUAAGAGGUAUCGACCCCUUUUGUGCCGGAGUCAACACAAUAAGCAUUCCGCCUGGGGAGUACGGCCGCAAGGUUGAAACUCAAAGGAAUUGACGGGG